AGAGUUUGAUCCUGGCUCAGAUUGAACGCUGGCGGCAGGCCUAACACAUGCAAGUCGAGCGGAUGAGUGGAGCUUGCUCCAUGAUUCAGCGGCGGACGGGUGAGUAAUGCCUAGGAAUCUGCCUGGUAGUGGGGGACAACGUUUCGAAAGGAACGCUAAUACCGCAUGCGUCCUACGGGAGAAAGUGGGGGAUCUUCGGACCUCACGCUAUCAGAUGAGCCUAGGUCGGAUUAGCUAGUUGGUGAGGUAAAGGCUCACCAAGGCGACGAUCCGUAACUGGUCUGAGAGGAUGAUCAGUCACACUGGAACUGAGACACGGUCCAGACUCCUACGGGAGGCAGCAGUGGGGAAUAUUGGACAAUGGGCGAAAGCCUGAUCCAGCCAUGCCGCGUGUGUGAAGAAGGUCUUCGGAUUGUAAAGCACUUUAAGUUGGGAGGAAGGGCAGUAAGUUAAUACCUUGCUGUUUUGACGUUACCAACAGAAUAAGCACCGGCUAACUUCGUGCCAGCAGCCGCGGUAAUACGAAGGGUGCAAGCGUUAAUCGGAAUUACUGGGCGUAAAGCGCGCGUAGGUGGUUCGUUAAGUUGGAUGUGAAAGCCCCGGGCUCAACCUGGGAACUGCAUCCAAAACUGGCGAGCUAGAGUAUGGCAGAGGGUGGUGGAAUUUCCUGUGUAGCGGUGAAAUGCGUAGAUAUAGGAAGGAACACCAGUGGCGAAGGCGACCACCUGGGCUAAUACUGACACUGAGGUGCGAAAGCGUGGGGAGCAAA
This 769-nucleotide ribosomal RNA is filed under the name uncultured bacterium. Its description in RNAcentral is "bacterial SSU rRNA". It matches the Rfam family "Bacterial small subunit ribosomal RNA", at positions 8 to 772 of the family's 1533-position model. The record is from RNAcentral.